This 2124-nucleotide ribosomal RNA is filed under the name Fluviicola chungangensis. RNAcentral's name for it is "Fluviicola sp. MAH-3 partial 23S ribosomal RNA". It matches the Rfam family "Bacterial large subunit ribosomal RNA", at positions 22 to 2171 of the family's 2925-position model. The record is from RNAcentral. Lineage: Bacteria; Pseudomonadati; Bacteroidota; Flavobacteriia; Flavobacteriales; Crocinitomicaceae.
CGGGGGAUGCCUUGGCUCUCAGAGGCGAAGAAAGACGUGAUAAGCUGCGAUAAGCUACGGGGAUUGGCAAAUACGAAUAGAUCCGUAGAUUUCUGAAUGGGGAAACCUAGCUGGUUGAAGACCAGUUAUCCGUAAGGAGGCGAACGCGCUGAACUGAAACAUCUAAGUAGGCGUAGGAAGAGAAAACAAUAGUGAUUUCCGGAGUAGCGGCGAGCGAAAUGGAAAAAGCCCAAACCAGUAAUGUUUCGGCAUUGCUGGGGUUGUAGGGCUGCAAUAUGGACUAUUAUAUUAUAGAGGAAGUGUUUGGAAAGUCACUCCGCAGAAGGUGAAAGGCCUGUACUCGAAAUAGUAUAAUUACCUAGCAGUACCCUGAGUAGGGCGGGACAUGUGGAAUCCUGUCUGAAUCAACCGGAACCAUCCGGUAAGGCUAAAUACUCCUGAGAGACCGAUAGCGAACGAGUACUGUGAAGGAAAGGUGAAAAGAACCCUGAACAAGGGAGUGAAAUAGACCCUGAAACCGUGUGCCUACAAGCGGUCGGAGCCAUUCGUGGUGACGGCGUGCCUUUUGCAUAAUGAUCCUACGAGUUACUCCUCAUUGGCAAGGUUAAGUGAUUCAGUCACGGAGCCGAAGCGAAAGCGAGUCUGAAUAGGGCGUUUUAGUCAGUGGGGGUAGACGCGAAACCUUGUGAUCUACCCAUGGGCAGGUUGAAGUUCCAGUAACAUGGAAUGGAGGACCGAACCGAUAAACGUUGAAAAGUUUCCGGAUGACCUGUGGGUAGGGGUGAAAGGCCAAUCAAACUGGGAAAUAGCUCGUACUCCCCGAAAUGCAUUUAGGUGCAGCGUUCAGGUUGAGUCUUAUAGAGGUAGAGCUACUGAUUGGACUAGGGGGCUUCACCGCCUACCAAAUCCUGACAAACUCCGAAUGCUAUAAGAUAUACUGAGCAGUGAGGGCACGGGUGCUAAGGUCCGUGUCCGAGAGGGAAAGAACCCAGACCAUCAGCUAAGGUCCCCAAAUGUACACUAAGUUGAUCAAACGUUGUCCGGUUGCAUUGACAGCUAGGAUGUUGGCUUGGAAGCAGCCAUUCAUUUAAAGAGUGCGUAACAGCUCACUAGUCGAGCGAUCGGGCGUGGAUAAUAAGCGGGCAUUAAGUGUACUACCGAAGCUAUGGAUUUGUAGUAAUACAACUGGUAGGGGAGCAUUCUAGUCAGCGUAGAAGGUGCAUGGUGAUGUGUGCUGGAGCGGCUAGAAAAGCAAAUGUAGGAAUAAGUAACGAUAAUGCAGGCGAGAAACCUGCACACCGAAAGACUAAGGUUUCCUGGGCGACGCUAAUCGUCCCAGGGUUAGUCGGGACCUAACGCGAACCCGAAGGGGGUAGUGGAUGGCAAACGGGUUAAUAUUCCCGUACUUGCUUUAACUGCGAUGGGGUGACGGAGUAUUGAAAGGACCGCGAACUGACGGAAUAGUUCGUUGAAGGUUGUAGCUAUAUUUUGGAUAGUUAAAUGCGUUCAGAAUGGCAAAGACCGAUAGUACCGCGCGGCUUCGGCCAAGUGGAUAGUGUCCCUAAAAGCUUCCAAGAAAAACCUCUAAGCUUCAGGUUAAAGCAACUCGUACCGUAAACCGACACAGGUAGUCGAGGAGAGAAUCCUAAGGUGCUCGAGUGAUUCAUGGCUAAGGAACUAGGCAAAAUGGUCUCGUAACUUCGGGAGAAGAGACGCCACAGCAAUGUGGCCGCAGUGAAUAGGCCCAGGCGACUGUUUAUCAAAAACACAUGGCUUUGCAAAAUCGAAAGAUGAAGUAUAAGGCCUGACACCUGCCCGGUGCUGGAAGGUUAAGAGGAGAUGUUAGUUUCGGCGAAGCAUUGAAUUGAAGCCCCAGUAAACGGCGGCCGUAACUAUAACGGUCCUAAGGUAGCGAAAUUCCUUGUCGGGUAAGUUCCGACCUGCACGAAUGGUGUAACGAUCUGGGUACUGUCUCAGCCAUGAGCUCGGUGAAAUUGUAGUAUCGGUGAAGAUGCCGAUUACCCGCAACGGGACGAAAAGACCCCGUGAACCUUUACUAUAGCUUCACAUUGACAUUGGGUAAUUCAUGUGUAGGAUAGGUUGGAGACUUUGAGGCUGCGUCGC